This 400-nucleotide ribosomal RNA is filed under the name uncultured bacterium. Its description in RNAcentral is "partial 16S ribosomal RNA". It matches the Rfam family "Bacterial small subunit ribosomal RNA", at positions 360 to 776 of the family's 1533-position model. The record is from RNAcentral.
AAUUUUGGACAAUGGGGGAAACCCUGAUCCAGCCAUCCCGCGUGUAUGAUGAAGGCCUUCGGGUUGUAAACCGCUUUUCGAGGGGAAGAGGAAGGACGGUACCCUCGGAAUAAGUCUCGGCUAACUACGUGCCAGCAGCCGCGGUAAAACGUAGGAGGCGAGCGUUAUCCGGAUUUACUGGGUGUAAAGCGCGUGCAGGCGGCCGCGCAAGUCGUGCGUGAAAGCGCCCGGCUCAACCGGGCGAGGUCGUGCGAAACUGCGGGGCUUGAGGCAGGUAGAGGCGUGUGGAAUUCCGGGUGUAGUGGUGAAAUGCGUAGAGAUCCGGAGGAACACCAGUGGCGAAGGCGGCACGCUGGGCUGCACCUGACGCUGAGCCGCGAAAGCUAGGGGAGCGAACGGG